RNAcentral lists this ribosomal RNA (1402 nucleotides) under uncultured bacterium. Its description in RNAcentral is "partial 16S ribosomal RNA". It matches the Rfam family "Bacterial small subunit ribosomal RNA". The record is from RNAcentral.
AGAGUUUGAUCCUGGCUCAGAUUGAACGCUGGCGGCGUGCUUAACACAUGCAAGUCGAACGCGAAAGUGGCUUCGGCCGCGAGUAGAGUGGCGCACGGGUGAGUAACGCGUGGAUAAUCUGCCUCUGCAAUCGGAAUAACGACUGGAAACGGUCGCUAAUACCGGAUACGCUUAAGUUUUACCUCUUAAGGAAAGAUGACCUCUAUUUAUAAGUUAUCGUGCAGAGAUGAGUCCGCGUCCCAUUAGCUUGUUGGCGGGGUAACGGCCCACCAAGGCGACGAUGGGUAGCCGAUUUAAGAGGAUGAUCGGCCACAUUGGAACUGAAACACGGUCCAAACUCCUACGGGAGGCAGCAGUGGGGAAUAUUGCGCAAUGGGCGAAAGCCUGACGCAGCGACGCCGCGUGAGGGAUGAAGGUCUUCGGAUCGUAAACCUCUGUCAGAAGGGAAAAAUGUACAGUGCUCCAAUCAACACUGUAUUGAUGGUACCUUCAGAGGAAGCACCGGCUAACUCCGUGCCAGCAGCCGCGGUAAUACGGAGGGUGCAAGCGUUAAUCGGAAUUACUGGGCGUAAAGCGCGCGUAGGUUGUUUUGUAAGUCAGAGGUGUAAUCCCACGGCUUAACCGUGGAACUGCCUUUGAUACUGCAUAACUUGGAUCCGGGAGAGGACAGCGGAAUUCCAGGUGUAGGAGUGAAAUCCGUAGAUAUCUGGAAGAACAUCAGUGGCGAAGGCGGCUGUCUGGACCGGUAUUGACGCUGAGGCGCGAAAGCGUGGGUAGCAAACAGGAUUAGAUACCCUGGUAGUCCAUGCCGUAAACGAUGAUUACUAAGGUGUUGGAGGAUUGACCCCUUCCGUGCCGCAGUUAACACAAUAAGUAAUCCACCUGGGGAGUACGACCGCAAGGUUGAAACUCAAAGGAAUUGACGGGGGCCCGCACAAGCAGUGGAGUAUGUGGUUUAAUUCGAAGCAACGCGAAGAACCUUACCAGGUCUUGACAUCCGAUGCAUAGUGCAGAGAUGCAUGAAGUCCUUCGGGACAUCGAGACAGGUGGUGCAUGGUUGUCGUCAGCUCGUGUCGUGAGAUGUUGGGUUAAGUCCCGCAACGAGCGCAACCCUUAUUGCCAGUUACUACGCAAGAGGACUCUGGCGAGACUGCCGUUGACAAAACGGAGGAAGGUGGGGAUGACGUCAAAUCAUCAUGCCCUUUAUGACCUGGGCUACACACGUACUACAAUGGCGUUUAACAAAGAGAAGCAAGACCGCGAGGUGGAGCAAAACUCAAAAACAACGUCUCAGUUCAGAUUGCAGGCUGCAACUCGCCUGCAUGAAGUCGGAAUUGCUAGUAAUCGCGGAUCAGCAUGCCGCGGUGAAUACGUUCCCGGGCCUUGCACUCACCGCCCGUCA